This 229-nucleotide ribosomal RNA is filed under the name uncultured bacterium. RNAcentral's name for it is "partial 16S ribosomal RNA". It matches the Rfam family "Bacterial small subunit ribosomal RNA", at positions 104 to 334 of the family's 1533-position model. The record is from RNAcentral.
CGGGGUGAGUAAUGUCUGGGAGACUGCCUGAUGGAGGGGGAUAACUACUGGAAACGGUAGCUAAUACCGCAUAACGUCGCAAGACCAAAGAGGGGGACCUUAGGGCCUCUUGCCAUCAGAUGUGCCCAGAUGGGAUUAGCUUGUUGGUGGGGUAACGGCUCACCAAGGCGACGAUCCCUAGCUGGUCUGAGAGGAUGACCAGCCACACUGGAACUGAGACACGGUCCAG